Molecule: ribosomal RNA, 462 nt
Filed under: uncultured bacterium
Lineage: Bacteria
Description: bacterial SSU rRNA
Rfam family: Bacterial small subunit ribosomal RNA
Source: RNAcentral
ACUCCUACGGGAGGCAGCAGUGAGGAAUAUUGGACAAUGGGCGAAAGCCUGAUCCAGCCAUGCCGCGUGCAGGAAGACUGCCCUAUGGGUUGUAAACUGCUUUUGUACGGGAAGAAACCCACCUACGUGUAGGUGGCUGACGGUACCGUAAGAAUAAGCAUCGGCUAACUCCGUGCCAGCAGCCGCGGUAAUACGGGGGUGCAAGCGUAAUCGGAGUUAUUGGGCGUAAAGGGUGCGUAGGUUGUUAUUUAAGUCAUGUGGGAAAUACCUGGGCUCAACCUGGGAAUGACGGAUGAUACUGAAUGACUAGAGUAUAGUAGAGGGUAGUGGAAUUUCCGGUGUAGCGGUGAAAUGCGUAGAGAUCGGAAGGAACACCAGUGGCGAAGGCGGCUACCUGGACUAAUACUGACACUGAGGCACGAAAGCGUGGGUAGCAAACAGGAUUAGAUACCCUGGUAGGUC